AUACGUAGGUGACAAGCGUUAUCCGGAUUUACUGGGCGUAAAGGGCGUGUAGGCGGUCUUGCAAGUCAGAAGUGAAAUUCCUGAGCUCAACUCGGGCGCUGCUUCUGAAACUGCAGGACUUGAGUGCUGGAGGGGAUAGCGGAAUUCCUAGUGGAGCGGUAAAAUGCGCAGAUAUUAGGAAGAACACCGGUGGCGAAUGCGGCUAUCUGGACAGUAACUGAAUCUGAGGCGCGAACGCGUGGGGAGCAAACAGGAUGAGAUACCCUGGUAGCCCACGCCGUAAACGAUGAAUACUAGGUGUAGGGGGUAUCGACUCCCUCUGUGCCGCAGUUAACACAAUAAGUAUUCCGCCUGGGGCGUACGGCCGCAAGGUUGAAACUCAAAUGAAUUGUCGGGG
RNAcentral lists this ribosomal RNA (397 nucleotides) under uncultured bacterium. Its description in RNAcentral is "partial 16S ribosomal RNA". It matches the Rfam family "Bacterial small subunit ribosomal RNA", at positions 523 to 918 of the family's 1533-position model. The record is from RNAcentral.